This 305-nucleotide ribosomal RNA is filed under the name uncultured bacterium. RNAcentral's name for it is "bacterial SSU rRNA". It matches the Rfam family "Bacterial small subunit ribosomal RNA", at positions 335 to 657 of the family's 1533-position model. The record is from RNAcentral.
UUUCCUACGGGACGCAGCAGUGGGGAAUAUUGCACAAUGGGGGAAACCCUGAUGCAGCGACGCCGCGUGAGUGAAGAAGUAUUUCGGUAUGUAAAGCUCUAUCAGCAGGGAAGAAAAUGACGGUACCUGACUAAGAAGCCCCGGCUAACUACGUGCCAGCAGCCGCGGUAAUACGUAGGGGGCAAGCGUUAUCCGGAUUUACUGGGUGUAAAGGGAGCGUAGACGGCCAGACAAGUCAGAAGUGAAAGCCCAGGGCUCAACCCCGGGACUGCUCUUGGAACUGCGUGGCUAGAGUGCAGGAGGGG